CAGUCGCCGCGGGAAUACGUAGGGUGCAAGCGUUAAUCGGAAUUACUGGGCGUAAAGCGUGCGCAGGCGGUUUUGUAAGACAGAGGUGAAAUCCCCGGGCUCAACCUGGGAACUGCCUUUGUGACUGCAAGGCUGGAGUGCGGCAGAGGGGGAUGGAAUUCCGCGUGUAGCAGUGAAAUGCGUAGAUAUGCGGAGGAACACCGAUGGCGAAGGCAAUCCCCUGGGCCUGCACUGACGCUCAUGCACGAAAGCGUGGGGAGCAAACAGGAUUAGAGACCCCAGUAGUCCCUGUCUCUUAUAC
RNAcentral lists this ribosomal RNA (301 nucleotides) under uncultured bacterium. Its description in RNAcentral is "partial 16S ribosomal RNA". It matches the Rfam family "Bacterial small subunit ribosomal RNA", at positions 509 to 807 of the family's 1533-position model. The record is from RNAcentral.